GUAAAUGCUUGUUUGUUUUAGGUUGGGGUGACCGCGGAGUAAAAAUUAACCUCCACGAAAAAGGGCAUAAAAGCCUUAUCAAAGAAUUACACUUCUAUGAAUUAGUAAACUAAUUUUUGAUGAUCCGAUAUUCGAUCAACGAACCAAGUUACCCUGGGGAUAACAGCGCAAUCCACCUCAAGAGCUCCUAUCGACAAGUGGGUUUACGACCUCGAUGUUGGAUCAGGGUACCCCAGUGGUGCAGCAGCUACUAAAGGUUCGUUUGUUCAACGAUUAA
This 277-nucleotide ribosomal RNA is filed under the name Boophis majori. RNAcentral describes it as "partial 16S ribosomal RNA". It matches the Rfam family "Bacterial large subunit ribosomal RNA", at positions 2250 to 2591 of the family's 2925-position model. Lineage: Eukaryota; Metazoa; Chordata; Amphibia; Anura; Mantellidae. The record is from RNAcentral.